This 134-nucleotide ribosomal RNA is filed under the name uncultured bacterium. Its description in RNAcentral is "partial 16S ribosomal RNA". It matches the Rfam family "Bacterial small subunit ribosomal RNA", at positions 398 to 524 of the family's 1533-position model. The record is from RNAcentral.
CGCGUGAGUGAAGAAGGUUUUCGGAUCGUAAAGCUCUGUUGUUGGUGAAGAAGGAUAGAGGUAGUAACUGGCCUUUAUUUGACGGUAAUCAAUCAGAAAGUCACGGCUAACUACGUGCCAGCAGCCGCGGUAAU